UAAGAGCUUAAGGUUGUAGUUAAUAGGUUGGUUAAAUAUAAAUCAUGCUUUUUAUGAGAAUCUUUU
Molecule: transfer RNA, 66 nt
Filed under: Perna canaliculus (greenshell mussel)
Lineage: Eukaryota; Metazoa; Mollusca; Bivalvia; Mytilida; Mytilidae
Description: tRNA-Ser
Source: RNAcentral